This 482-nucleotide ribosomal RNA is filed under the name uncultured bacterium. RNAcentral describes it as "partial 16S ribosomal RNA". It matches the Rfam family "Bacterial small subunit ribosomal RNA", at positions 28 to 507 of the family's 1533-position model. The record is from RNAcentral.
GAUGAACGCUCGCGGCAGGCCUAAUACAUGCAAGUCGAACGAGAUUAAGAGGCUUGCUUCUUAUGAAAGUGGCGCACGGGUGCGUAACGCGUAUGCAACCUACCUUAAUCAGGGGGAUAGCCCGAAGAAAUUCGGAUUAAGACCGCAUAAAAACACAGGAUAGCAUUAUCCAGUGUUCAAAUAUUUAUCGGAUUAAGAUGGGCAUGCGUGUCAUUAGCUAGUUGGCGGGGUAACGGCCCACCAAGGCGACGAUGACUAGGGGAUCUGAGAGGAUGACCCCCCACACUGGUACUGGGACACGGACCAGACUCCUACGGGAGGCAGCAGUAAGGAAUAUUGGUCAAUGGAGGGAACUCUGAACCAGCCAUGCCGCGUGCAGGAAGACAGCCCUCUGGGUAGUAAACUGCUUUUAUUCGGGAAUAAACCUUUCUACGUGUAGGAAGCUGAAUGUACCGAAGGAAUAAGGAUCGGCUAACUCCGUG